This 227-nucleotide non-coding RNA is filed under the name Scrippsiella hangoei. The record is from RNAcentral. Lineage: Eukaryota; Dinophyceae; Peridiniales; Peridiniaceae.
AACGCCAGGUCGAAGCCUUCUAGAAAACUGCGCCAAGCACCACGCCUUCAUGAGAGGGGGCAUGAGGAGAGUGAGCCCCUUGUUCUGUUGGCGCUCCAAUCAUGAGCGCUCACGGCAUGUCUGUGGUGCUGCAAAGUGCCCGAGCCCGCCACCAAGGCUCCGCGAGAAGCAUCACCACUGGAGGUCUGCCACGAGCCCUGCGGUCUUCCACUCGCACUCUCUGCACC